CUCGACAGAGUGGUAGCGGAGCGUUCCGUAAGCCUGUGAAGGGAGACCCGUGAGGGCUCCUGGAGGUAUCGGAAGUGAGAAUGCUGACAUGAGUAGCGAUAAGAAGCGUGAGAGACGCUUCCGCCGUAAGUCCAAGGGUUCCUGCGCAAGGUCAAUCCGCGCAGGGUUAGCCGGCCCCUAAGGCGAGGGCGACAGCCGUAGCCGAUGGGAACCACGUGAAUAUUCGUGGGCCUGCUGGAAGUGACGGAUCCGAAAAGUGGCUCUAGCUCGUUGGCGAAUGCUAGGGCGGCCCAAGGGUUCCAGGAAAUAGCUCCAGCAUAUAGACCGUACCCUAAACCGACACAGGUGGACUGGUAGAGUAUACCAAGGCGCUUGAGGGAACGGUGUUGAAGGAACUAGGCAAUUUACCCCCGUAACUUCGGGAUAAGGGGGCCUCUGACGGUCUCGUCAGAGGGGCACAGACUAGGG
RNAcentral lists this ribosomal RNA (468 nucleotides) under Parazoarcus communis. RNAcentral's name for it is "bacterial LSU rRNA". It matches the Rfam family "Bacterial large subunit ribosomal RNA", at positions 1216 to 1791 of the family's 2925-position model. The record is from RNAcentral. Lineage: Bacteria; Pseudomonadati; Pseudomonadota; Betaproteobacteria; Rhodocyclales; Zoogloeaceae.